RNAcentral lists this ribosomal RNA (245 nucleotides) under uncultured Methanosarcina sp. RNAcentral describes it as "partial 16S ribosomal RNA". It matches the Rfam family "Archaeal small subunit ribosomal RNA", at positions 88 to 330 of the family's 1478-position model. The record is from RNAcentral. Lineage: Archaea; Methanobacteriati; Methanobacteriota; Methanomicrobia; Methanosarcinales; Methanosarcinaceae.
GCUCAGUAACACGUGGAUAACCUGCCCUUGGGACCGGGAUAACCCCGGGAAACUGGGGAUAAUACCGGAUAACGCAUAUCUGCUGGAAUGCUUUAUGCGUAAAAUGGAUUUGUCUGCCCAAGGAUGGGUCUGCGGCCUAUCAGGUAGUAGUGGGUGUAAUGUACCUACUAGCCUACGACGGGUACGGGUUGUGAGAGCAAGAGCCCGGAGAUGGAUUCUGAGACAUGUAUCCAGGCCCUACGGGG